CGGGUGUUCACCUCUUCCCAUUCCGAACAGAGUCGUUAAGCCCCGGAGCGCCCAUGGUACUGCCUUCACCGGCGGGAGAGUAGGUCGCCGCCAACC
RNAcentral lists this ribosomal RNA (96 nucleotides) under Hymenobacter wooponensis. Lineage: Bacteria; Pseudomonadati; Bacteroidota; Cytophagia; Cytophagales; Hymenobacteraceae. The record is from RNAcentral.